AAACGACUCUCGGCAACGGAUAUCUCGGCUCUCGCAUCGAUGAAGAACGUAGCGAAAUGCGAUACUUGGUGUGAAUUGCAGAAUCCCGUGAACCAUCGAGUCUUUGAACGCAAGUUGCGCCCGAAGCCCAUUAGGUUGAGGGCACGUCUGCCUGGGCGUCU
RNAcentral lists this ribosomal RNA (161 nucleotides) under Stewartia ovata var. grandiflora. Its description in RNAcentral is "5.8S ribosomal RNA". It matches the Rfam family "5.8S ribosomal RNA". Rfam says of the family: 5.8S ribosomal RNA (5.8S rRNA) is a component of the large subunit of the eukaryotic ribosome. It is transcribed by RNA polymerase I as part of the 45S precursor that also contains 18S and 28S rRNA. The record is from RNAcentral. Lineage: Eukaryota; Viridiplantae; Streptophyta; Magnoliopsida; Ericales; Theaceae.